ACAGAUAGCUAUAUUUGAACUGAUUAUAUCUUUCUUUCCCCUUCUUGAUACAGAAAUGAGUGGUGGAUUAGCACCAAGUAAAAGCACUGUAUAUGUAUCCAACUUGCCUUUUUCUUUGACAAACAAUGACUUUAUACAGGUGAAGAAGUGGAAGAAAGUGAAGAUGAAGAAGACCCUGCUCUUGAUAGCCUCAGCCAAGCUUUCCAGGUUAGUAUAAGUUUGCAUCUUCCUGCAGUUAGCAACUCAAUACAUUUUGCAUACUGCCAGAAACCACUUAUGUAGGCAUGCAAGAGCCACAGGAGCCCUACUUCUCUGUAUCACCACUUGUCUCUCCACCUUUCCACUCUUCCACAUAAACUGGGAGAAAAAAAAUUUUCUGUCAAGACAAAUGGGUAUAAUGUGUUAGAGUAGCAUUUCCAGUGUUCUUCUAGACCAGUGUCCCACAGUGUUUUUCAUAGUCUUGCCUCUACUUCUACUACAGAGGCAAAAAGUGAAACUGAUUUUAAUUACUAUAUGACAGAAGAAAAAUCUUCAUUUACCCACAUCAUUGUUUCCUGAAAGAACUCCACCAAAAAAAGGUAGAAAAG
RNAcentral lists this long non-coding RNA (587 nucleotides) under Vombatus ursinus (common wombat). Its description in RNAcentral is "lncRNA (ENSVURG00010007124.1)". Lineage: Eukaryota; Metazoa; Chordata; Mammalia; Diprotodontia; Vombatidae. The record is from RNAcentral.